Molecule: ribosomal RNA, 325 nt
Filed under: uncultured eukaryote
Lineage: Eukaryota
Description: partial 18S ribosomal RNA
Rfam family: Eukaryotic small subunit ribosomal RNA
Source: RNAcentral
CCCUUAGAUGUUCUGGGCCGCACGCGCGCUACACUGAUGCAUUCAACGAGCCUAUCCCUGACCGACAGGUCCGGGUAAUCUUUGAAUCUGCAUCGUGACGGGGAUAGAUUAUUGCAAUUAUUAAUCUUCAACGAGGAAUGCCUAGUAGGCGCAAGUCAUCAGCUUGCGUCGAUUACGUCCCUGCCCUUUGUACACACCGCCCGUCGCUCCUACCGAUUGGGUGUGCUGGUGAAAUGUUCGGAUCGGCCGUUUGUCGCGGUUUCCGCGUCAUGUGGCUGAGAAGUUCAUUAAACCCUCCCACCUAGAGGAAGGAGAAGUCGUAACG